RNAcentral lists this microRNA precursor (70 nucleotides) under Ovis aries (sheep). RNAcentral describes it as "miRNA (ENSOARG00000023949.1)". The record is from RNAcentral. Lineage: Eukaryota; Metazoa; Chordata; Mammalia; Artiodactyla; Bovidae.
UGGCCAAAAACUUUGUUUGGGUUUCUCUGGAAGAUGUAAUGGAAAAGCCUGAAUGAACUUUUUGGCCAAC